CGUAGGUGGCAAGCGUUGUCCGGAAUUAUUGGGCGUAAAGCGCGCGCAGGCGGUUCCUUAAGUCUGAUGUGAAAGCCCCCGGCUCAACCGGGGAAGGUCAUUGGAAACUGGGGAACUUGAGUGCAGAAGAGAAGAGCGGAAUUCCACGUGUAGCGGUGAAAUGCGUAGAGAUGUGGAGGAACACCAGUGGCGAAGGCGGCUCUUUGGUCUGUAACUGACGCUGAGGCGCGAAAGCGUGGGGAGCAAACAGGAUUAGAUACCCUGGUAGUCCACGCCGUAAACGAUGAGUGCUAAGUGUUAGAGGGUUUCCGCCCUUUAGUGCUGCAGCUAACGCAAUUAAGCACUCCGCCUGGGGAGUACGGCCGCAAGGCUGA
Molecule: ribosomal RNA, 374 nt
Filed under: uncultured organism
Description: bacterial SSU rRNA
Rfam family: Bacterial small subunit ribosomal RNA
Source: RNAcentral